RNAcentral lists this long non-coding RNA (635 nucleotides) under Homo sapiens (human). RNAcentral's name for it is "novel transcript". Lineage: Eukaryota; Metazoa; Chordata; Mammalia; Primates; Hominidae. The record is from RNAcentral.
UUUUUUUUUUUUUUUUUUUUUGAGAUGGUAUUUCGCUCUUGUUGCCCAGGCUAGAGUGCAAUAGCGUGAUUUCGGCUCACUGCAACCUCCGCCUUCUGGGCUGAGGCAGAAGAAUGGCGUGAACCUGGGAGGCGGAGGUUGCAGUGAGCCGAGAUCGUGCCACUGCACUCCAGCCUGGGAGACAGCGCAAGACUCUAGCUCAAACAAACAAACAAACAAAACAGCAACAACAACAACAAAACCAUCCUCCCCUCCCGAGGGGACAGAACAGAAACGAAUGGGCGAGUGCCGGGCCAAGCAGUGGGUCUCCAGCAGGUGGCAUUAAAAUAGGAAUUUUGGCUGGGGACGGUGGCUCACACCUGUAAUCUCAGCACUUUGGAAAGCCCAGGCGGGCGGUCACCUGAGGGCAGAACCAGCCUCGCCAACAUGGUGAAAUGCCAUCUCUACUAAAAAUAAAAAAUUAGCCAGGCCUGGUGGUGGGUGUCUGUAAUCCCAGCAACUCGGGAGGCUGAGGCAGGAGAAUCGCUUGAACCAGGGGGGCAGAGGUUGCAAUGAGUCAAGAUUGCACCACCGCACUCCAGCCUGCGUAACAAGAGCGUGUAACUCUUGUCUCAAAAAUAAAUUAAAUAAAUAAA